CCGGUGGGCCAGGUGGCCGCCUAAGUUGACUUUUCGAGUCAACUUUGCGAGGUUUUUUAAGUUAUUAACUUUGCGAAACCCCGGGGAGUUGUUUUUUGAGAGUCGAUUUUAGGAGGAAAGUCCGAACUCCACAGGGCAGGGUGCCGGCUAACGGCCGGGAGGAGCAAUCCUCGACCAGUGCCACAGAGAGCAGACUGCCUAAGCGUCUAUCAGACGACGGCGAUGGUGAAAGGGUGCGGUAAGAGCGCACCGCCCGGAUGGCAACACCCGGGGCACGGUAAACUCCACCCGGAGCAAGGUCAAGCAGUAAGGAUGGGUUGCCCGCCCUCGGUUGUGUUCCCUCGUGGAGAAGCCAGCGUAGCUGGAUUCUCCUAAAAAGGUUCGGCACAGCCGAACCUUACGGGUAGACUGCAAGAGGCCCGCGGCAACGCGCUGGCCCUAGAUAAAUGGCCAUCCUCGACAGAAUUCGGCUUAUCGGUCUGCCGGACAC
RNAcentral lists this RNase P RNA (490 nucleotides) under Caldifarciminota bacterium. Its description in RNAcentral is "RNase P RNA component class A". It matches the Rfam family "Bacterial RNase P class A". From Rfam's summary of the family: Ribonuclease P (RNase P) is a ubiquitous endoribonuclease, found in archaea, bacteria and eukarya as well as chloroplasts and mitochondria. Its best characterised activity is the generation of mature 5'-ends of tRNAs by cleaving the 5'-leader elements of precursor-tRNAs. Lineage: Bacteria; Pseudomonadati; Caldifarciminota. The record is from RNAcentral.